UACGUUCAUCCUCACUAGGACGGAAGUAGGCGAAAACGCUGAAGGAACGCACC
This 53-nucleotide non-coding RNA is filed under the name unclassified sequences. The record is from Rfam.